Molecule: ribosomal RNA, 797 nt
Filed under: uncultured bacterium
Lineage: Bacteria
Description: bacterial SSU rRNA
Rfam family: Bacterial small subunit ribosomal RNA
Source: RNAcentral
AUCGCGGCUAUCAUGCGAGGUCGAACGGGGUUUGCCAGCAAUGGCAAGCCUAGUGGCGCACGGGAUGCGGAACACGUGUGCAACCUGCCUUUAUCAGGGGGAUAGCCUUUCGAAAGGAAGAUUAAUACCCCAUAAUAUUUAGAAUGGCAUCAUUUUAAAUUGAAAACUCCGGUGGAUAGAGAUGGGCACGCGCAAGAUUAGAUAGUUGGUGAGGUAACGGCUCACCAAGUCUGCGAUCUUUAGGGGGCCUGAGAGGGUGAUCCCCCACACUGGUACUGAGACACGGACCAGACUCCUACGGGAGGCAGCAGUGAGGAAUAUUGGACAAUGGGUGCGAGCCUGAUCCAGCCAUCCCGCGUGAAGGAUGACGGCCCUAUGGGUUGUAAACUUCUUUUGUACAGGGAUAAACCUAGAUACGUGUAUCUAGCUGAAGGUACUGUACGAAUAAGCACCGGCUAACUCCGUGCCAGCAGCCGCGGUAAUACGGAGGGUGCAAGCGUUAUCCGGAUUUAUUGGGUUUAAAGGGUCCGUAGGCGGAUCUGUAAGUCAGUGGUGAAAUCUCACAGCUUAACUGUGAAACUGCCAUUGAUACUGCAGGUCUUGAGUGUUGUUGAAGUAGCUGGAAUAAGUAGUGUAGCGGUGAAAUGCAUAGAUAUUACUUAGAACACCAAUUGCGAAGGCAGGUUACUAAGCAACAACUGACGCUGAUGGACGAAAGCGUGGGGAGCGAACAGGAUUAGAUACCCUGGUAGUCCACGCCGUAAACGAUGCUAACUCGUUUUUGGGAUGCAAGUUUC